This 22-nucleotide transfer RNA is filed under the name Craugastor sp. SBH-2008. Its description in RNAcentral is "partial tRNA-Phe". Lineage: Eukaryota; Metazoa; Chordata; Amphibia; Anura; Craugastoridae. The record is from RNAcentral.
UGACCCCUCAAAGUUCUAAAAA